UUGACAGUAUAGGCAGAUGCUUUCAGCAAAGGAACCAGGAUGUUAAAAGAGCUUUAGCGUGGUUAUUGUUUUGCCAGGCAAAUCCAUGUACUUGUCAUCAAGGUGUUCAGGAGUAUUUCAGCCUCGUCGUACAAGCUGAAUACAAGAGCUGUAAUCAAGAGUUACAUCAUUUGGUGAGACAAGACCUUGAGGAAUACAGCAAAGGGAAAUGUGCAUAAUUAGAACAGUUCAGUUACAAGGGAAAAGGGGCUUUGAUAGUGUUAGAAAUGCAGCUGAAACAUGCAGCCUCCAUUGCCCUGUCAUCAGGCAUUAGAUGGUAGAUGUCAAGGGGCCAGGGGGAUCUCAGGAUCCAGCGAAGGAGUGUGGGGUUCCCUCUUUGAACCUUUCCAACCCUCAGAAAAACACCUAAGGUGACCAUCUGCUGAGCCACAAGGUCUCCUUCUCCACUGGGGGACAAACACCAAACCAGAGAUUAAAACAAGAGUCACUAACUAAAAAAAAAAAAGAAUGUAAAAAGCAGUUUGUUUUGAUAGUCUUUCUCAGAAAAGAAUGCUGAGAAAUAGAAACAUGACCAAUUCCUCUGCCACCUCAAAAUUCCUGUAAAGGAAGAGGCUGACAUGAAGAGGGGCCAGACGUGGUGACAGGGAACACGUCGUAGGUCGUCAAACGCCUUGGGGCCAAUGCGCUUCCCAUGGUGAUUUCCACACCGACAAAGUUGCCAAAAUCCUUCCUAGAAAUUUCACUUGGGGGAAUAAAAAAAAAAACAACUCUAGUGACACCCGUUCUAAGUAUGCAACAUCCAGCCUGCUUUAUUUAGAUUUUUCACAAAAUAUUUAUCACUGCCAUAGUGAUAUCUAUCCUAAAAAAAGAGACAAUGUUUCAAAGCAAUUUGACCUCCUCUAGACCCUAUCCAGAGACAUCUCUAUUCUUACACAUGUAUUAUUGGCAAAUGUUUUGAAUUUUUGAGUUUGUAGAGGAAAAUGUUCAACAUCUCAGGGAUUCUUGAGCCAUGGGAGACUGCUUUCCACCCACCACUGAGUAGGUUACCAGACAAUACUUAAUGUUUAGGUAUCAAAUUUGUUGAAACUAUGCCUGGGUGUGCACUGAAUUUAUUACAUUGCUCCUCUUUGCUUUUUCAUUUUUCUAUUUAUUAUAAGGCAAAGCUUUCUGGCGAGUGGGGCACACCACUCAGGGAGCACUGGAGGAAGGAUUUCAUCACUGAUGCUCUUCCAAGACAUCAACACCAACUGGCAUCACUGGCAUUCAUCUUUUGGGUGAGACUGUGACUGGAAUCCUCUCUCUCAAAGCAAACACUAGAGGUGCUCGGUGUAAAUGUCAUGUUCCUGGCUGGAGUCUUUGCUGGGCCCAAAGGCAAAGUGUAAUAUCAAAUGCCUGCUAUAAUUUUCAGUCUGGGACAUCUCUUGACCCGUGUGCACAGAUGAUGAACAAUUUCUCCUUUCUGGGUUGUCUUCUUUGCCUCUUGGUGCAGAAGUUGUCCUGAAAACACGCCAAGAACCACAGUCAUAGUGCUCUGGAACUGGGCUGAGAACAACAUGCUCAAUGAAACAUGUCAAGCUAUGUUAUAUUGUAGG
Long non-coding RNA from Parus major (Great Tit), 1592 nucleotides. RefSeq lists it as uncharacterized. The transcript has 3 exons. The record is from RefSeq and is a predicted model, not a curated record. Lineage: Eukaryota; Metazoa; Chordata; Aves; Passeriformes; Paridae.